GGGGAAUCUUGGACAAUGGGGGCAACCCUGAUCCAGCAAUGCCGCGUGGGUGAAGAAGGCCUUCGGGUUGUAAAGCCCUUUCGGCGGGGAAGAAAUCGGCCGGGCGAAUAGUCCGGUCGGAUGACGGUACCCGCAGAAGAAGCACCGGCUAACUACGUGCCAGCAGCCGCGGUAAUACGUAGGGUGCGAGCGUUAAUCGGAAUUACUGGGCGUAAAGGGUGCGCAGGCGGUUCUGUAAGACCGGUGUGAAAUCCCCGGGCUCAACCUGGGAAUUGCGCUGGUGACUGCAGGGCUAGAGUACGGUAGAGGGGGGUGGAAUUCCUGGUGUAGCAGUGAAAUGCGUAGAGAUCAGGAGGAACACCGAUGGCGAAGGCAGCCCCCUGGGCCUGUACUGACGCUCAUGCACGAAAGCGUGGGGAGCAAAC
This 425-nucleotide ribosomal RNA is filed under the name uncultured bacterium. Its description in RNAcentral is "bacterial SSU rRNA". It matches the Rfam family "Bacterial small subunit ribosomal RNA", at positions 356 to 773 of the family's 1533-position model. The record is from RNAcentral.